CAAAGGUGAGCCAGUACAGGAUGGACCCGCGUCUGAUUAGCUAGUUGGUAAGGUAACGGCUUACCAAGGCGACGAUCAGUAGCCGACCUGAGAGGGUGAUCGGCCACAUUGGAACUGAGACACGGUCCAAACUCCUACGGGAGGCAGCAGUGGGGAAUAUUGCACAAUGGGCGAAAGCCUGAUGCAGCAACGCCGCGUGAGUGAUGAAGGCCUUCGGGUCGUAAAACUCUGUCCUCAAGGAAGAUAAUGACGGUACUUGAGGAGGAAGCCCCGGCUAACUACGUGCCAGCAGCCGCGGUAAUACGUAGGGGGCUAGCGUUAUCCGGAUUUACUGGGCGUAAAGGGUGCGUAGGCGGUCUUUCAAGUCAGGAGUGAAAGGCUAUGGCUCAACCGUAGUAAGCUCUUGAAACUGGGAGACUUGAGUGCAGGAGAGGAGAGUGGAAUUCCUAGUGUAGCGGUGAAAUGCGUAGAUAUUAGGAGGAACACCAGUUGCGAAGGCGGCUCUCUGGACUGUAACUGACGCUGAGGCACGAAAGCGUGGGGAGCAAACAGGAUUAGAUACCCUGGUAGUCCACGCUGUAAACGAUGAGUACUAGGUGUCGGGG
RNAcentral lists this ribosomal RNA (605 nucleotides) under uncultured bacterium. Its description in RNAcentral is "bacterial SSU rRNA". It matches the Rfam family "Bacterial small subunit ribosomal RNA", at positions 202 to 828 of the family's 1533-position model. The record is from RNAcentral.